GAUGAACGCUGGCGGCGUGCCUAAUACAUGCAAGUCGAGCGAACGGACGCGAAGUUUGCUUCUCUGAUGUUAGCGGCGGACGGGUGAGUAACACGUGGAUAACCUACCUAUAAGACUGGGAUAACUUCGGGACACCGGAGCUAAUACCGGAUAAUAUUUUGAACCGCAUGGUUCAAAAGUGAAAGACUGUCUUGCUGUCUCUUCUAGCUGGAUCCGCGCUGCAUUAGCUAGUUGGUAAGGUAACGGCUUACCAAGGCAACGAUGCAUAGCCGACCUGGGAGGGUGAUCGGCGACCCUGGAACGGGGACACGCACACGACUCCUGCGAGAGGCAGCAGAAGGGAAUGUGAGGCAGUGGGCGAAAGUCUGACGGAGCGACGGCGCGUGAGUGGUGAAGGUCCUCGGAUCGUAAAACUCUGUUAUGAGGGAAGAACAUAUGUGUAAGGGGCUGUACACAUCGUGACGGUACCUAAACAGAAAGCAACGGCUAACUACGUG
Molecule: ribosomal RNA, 497 nt
Filed under: uncultured bacterium
Lineage: Bacteria
Description: partial 16S ribosomal RNA
Rfam family: Bacterial small subunit ribosomal RNA
Source: RNAcentral